Molecule: long non-coding RNA, 535 nt
Filed under: Ananas comosus (pineapple)
Lineage: Eukaryota; Viridiplantae; Streptophyta; Magnoliopsida; Poales; Bromeliaceae
Description: long non-coding RNA (ACOM_LNC017540)
Source: RNAcentral
GAUUUAAUAAAUAGGGACAAUUGCUUAUAUACCCUUGAAAAGUUUCUGACUUUCCGAUUUACCCCUCUUAGAAGGCUAAUAUUGAAAAUACCCUUUCUAUGUUCCAACCUAUUUUUAAUAUACCGCUAGAGUUAAAAUCUGUUAAUUAACUCUGUUAUCUCUAUAAAAUUACUAUUUUGCCCUUUCAAAUAUAUCCUUCCAUCAUCACUGACUUUCUUAUUUAUCCUUAAAGUCAGGGGUACAAAAAGUAUUUUGACUUUUGGUCUUUCCUAAUAUACCCCUCUACCGUCACCAGCAUUUCUUAUUGGCCUUAAGUUAAGGAUAAAAUUGACAUUUUAAUUUCUUUUAACUGUGGUAGAUAUUUAACUCACGUUUAACCCAAGUUAACUCAACAGGAGAUAUCUGUGAGAGUAUUUUGAAAUAACGGUGGAACAUAUGAGAGGUAUUUUAUAAAGAAAAAAAAAAGUAGGAGUAAAUCGAAUAUUUUCAAACAUAUAAAUGGUAUAUAGGCAAUUAUCCCUAUACAUAAAUACAU